This 1170-nucleotide ribosomal RNA is filed under the name Triticum aestivum (bread wheat). RNAcentral's name for it is "partial small subunit ribosomal RNA". The record is from RNAcentral. Lineage: Eukaryota; Viridiplantae; Streptophyta; Magnoliopsida; Poales; Poaceae.
AUGAGCACGCGAGGGGAGAUGUCUCCUCCGCUCCGCCGCACCCCUCCGCCGCCCGCCUCUCUGCCAGACGACGACGACCUGCUCCGGGAGAUUCUCCUCCGCCUGCCGCCCCGCCCUUCCUCCCUCCCCAGGGCCUCCCUCGUUUGCAAGCGUUGGCGCAGCCUCAUCGGCGAUCCCCAAUUCCAACGCCGCUUCCGCGGCCACCACGGCAAGCCUCCUCUCCUUGGCUUCUUCCUCGAUGAGUAUAGCUCCUGUCCGUUUGUUCCACUGCUGGAUCGACCAGAUCGCAUCCCCGGCGAUCGCUUCUUCAAGCCUCUCCAUGACGGCAACCGCAUCGUCGACUGCCGCCAUGGACUUGUACUUAUCUUCAGCUCAAGGCAAAACACAUGGCCGCCGCGCCACCUAUUGGUGUGGGAUCCCGUCGCCCGCGAGCAGUGCCGCCUCAUCUUCCCACCAGAGCUGGACGUUGACCAGAUGUUCAUCUUCAACGGGGCGGUGCUUCGCCCUGCCCGCAGUCACGGCCAUUUCCAGGUGGCCCUGGUAGCCCAUUACGUACGUGCUGAUAAUCCUAAAAGAGUUUUCGCAUGCCUUUACUCAUCAGAGAACGGCACAUGGAGCAAUAUCAAGUCACUGCAGCUGCAAUCGUUUAUAGCCUCGCCAGAACCCAGCACUUUGAUUGGGAAUUCCAUUUGCUGGUUAAUUAAGGAGGGGCAUCAUCACAAUCGCCGGUAUGUCAUAGUUGAGUUUGAUUUGGAUAGGCAGAGCCUAGCUGUGAUAGAGCUGCCACCGCACAUAGAAGCCGGCAUUUCAAAGCUAAGGAUUAUGCCCACAGAGGAUGGUGGGCUUGGCUUCAUUGAUCUCUCAGGAUUCCACGCCGAGAUAUGGAAGAGAAAGCCUGAUUCUGAUGGUUUGGCUGUAUGGGUGCUCGACAGAGCUAUUGAAUUCAAGGAGCUCAGUUCAACUUGGAAGGGGUACCUAUUUUUAGUGGGGUUUGCCGAGGAGAGUAAUGCACUACUUUUAAAGAUAGGUUCCGCUUUGUUCAUGGUCUAUCUCCAGUCAAUGGAGUUUAAGAAACUUCCCAAUAUGACCGGCUUCCAUAGCUAUUAUCCAUUUGAGUUUUGCUACGCGGCAGGUACUGGCAUUGGUGAUGGGAUGGUGGAGAUGAAGUGA